CCUACGGGGGGCUGCAGUGGGGAAUAUUGCACAAUGGGCGCAAGCCUGAUGCAGCCAUGCCGCGUGUGUGAAGAAGGCCUUCGGGUUGUAAAGCACUUUCAGCGGGGAGGAAGGCGGUGAGGUUAAUAACCUCAUCGAUUGACGUUACCCGCAGAAGAAGCACCGGCUAACUCCGUGCCAGCAGCCGCGGUAAUACGGAGGGUGCAAGCGUUAAUCGGAAUUACUGGGCGUAAAGCGCACGCAGGCGGUCUGUCAAGUCGGAUGUGAAAUCCCCGGGCUCAACCUGGGAACUGCAUUCGAAACUGGCAGGCUAGAGUCUUGUAGAGGGGAGUAGAACUCCAGGUGUAGCGGUGAAAUGCGUAGAGAUCUGGAGGAAUACCGAUGGCGAAGGCAGCCCCCUGGACCAAGACUGACGCUCAGGUGCGAAAGCGUGGGGAGCAAACAGGAUUAGAUACCCUUGUAGUC
This 465-nucleotide ribosomal RNA is filed under the name uncultured Klebsiella sp. Its description in RNAcentral is "bacterial SSU rRNA". It matches the Rfam family "Bacterial small subunit ribosomal RNA", at positions 338 to 795 of the family's 1533-position model. The record is from RNAcentral. Lineage: Bacteria; Pseudomonadati; Pseudomonadota; Gammaproteobacteria; Enterobacterales; Enterobacteriaceae.